Molecule: ribosomal RNA, 2401 nt
Filed under: Gyrinidae sp. Cy2020 sp1
Lineage: Eukaryota; Metazoa; Arthropoda; Insecta; Coleoptera; Gyrinidae
Description: partial large subunit ribosomal RNA
Rfam family: Eukaryotic large subunit ribosomal RNA (bases 1-1984)
Source: RNAcentral
CGCGGCCGGCGACGGCCGCCGGGCGAUGCGGUGUUUGGGAGGGUCCGAUCGACCCGGGCGCGUGCGACGAGUCCAAGUCCUUCUUGAACGGGGCCGAACGCCCAGAGAGGGUGCCAGGCCCGUGGUGACCGUCGCCGAGUCCGGGUGGACUCCUCCCUAGAGUCGGGUUGCUUGAGAGUGCAGCCCCAAGCGGGUGGUAAACUCCAUCUAAGGCUAAAUAUGACCACGAGACCGAUAGCGAACAAGUACCGUGAGGGAAAGUUGAAAAGAACUUUGAAGAGAGAGUUCAAGAGUACGUGAAACCGUUCAGGGGUAAACCUGAGGAGCCCGAAAGGUCGAGGCGGCAGAUUCAACCGUCUCGCCGGUCGUGGCGACCCGUCGGCGUACACAGGGACGGUCGCGCGCGCGGCCACGGUUCGCCGUGGCCGUGUCCGCGCGGCCGCCCCGUCGACGGGCCCUGCCCGCGACCGGAGGCGUGCACUUCUGCCGCUGUAGGACGUCGCGACCCGUCGGGUGCCGGCCUGGGGCCCGCACGGGCAGACCGGGGCGGGACGCGAGCGAUCGCGUCAUCACCGUCCCGGACCGGCGGUGUGUGCGGGCGGUGCGCGGCGCGUCUUUCGGGGCGCGUCGCGUGCACCCGCGACCCGGCCGGCCGCCCGACGGCAGACGAGAGGCAGGCGAGCGCGUUCGAACGCGUCCAGGGCGCGCGGCAAGUGGGCGCGCGGCGAACGCGCGCGUCCUCCGGGGCGCGCGCGGCGGAGACCGGACCUGGUGCCGGUCCCGCGCCCGCGCCGCUGUUGGCCGCGCGACACACCUCGGACAGCGGGCCGCCUGCGUCGGCGACGCUUCAGCUUUGGGCACUCUCAGGACCCGUCUUGAAACACGGACCAAGGAGUCUAGCAUGUGCGCGAGUCAUUGGGUCCAGAACGAAACCCACAGGCGAAAUGAAAGUGAAGAGCGGUCGCGCGCGUCGUCCCACGAGGGCGCGCGUCGCGCGGCCGCCGAGGGAGGACGGGCCGGCGCGCGCGUCGUCGUCCGGGAAACCGGUCGGCGGCGCCGCGUCAGCCGGCCCCGCACUCCCGGGGCGUCCCAAGUCUCGAUUCGAGACGGGGCGCACCAGGAGCGCACACGCUGGGACCCGAAAGAUGGUGAACUAUGCCUGGUCAGGACGAAGUCAGGGGAAACCCUGAUGGAGGUCCGUAGCGAUUCUGACGUGCAAAUCGAUCGUCGGAACUGGGUAUAGGGGCGAAAGACUAAUCGAACCAUCUAGUAGCUGGUUCCCUCCGAAGUUUCCCUCAGGAUAGCUGGCGCCCGGCACAAAAUACCGUAGCGUACGAGUCUCAUCCGGUAAAGCGAAUGAUUAGAGGCAUUGGGGUCGAAACGGCCUCAACCUAUUCUCAAACUUUAAAUGGGUGAGAACCGCGGCCUGCUCGAGCAGUGAGGCCGCGGCCAUAUGAAACGGACAGGAUCGACGGGCGCCAAGUGGGCCACUUUUGGUAAGCAGAACUGGCGCUGCGGGAUGAACCGAACGCAGAGUUAAAGCGCCAAAAUCGACGCUCAUGGGACACCAUGAAAGGCGUUGGUAACUUAUGACAGCAGGACGGUGGCCAUGGAAGUCGGAAUCCGCCAAGGAGUGUGUAACAACUCACCUGCCGAAGUUACUAGCCCUGAAAAUGGAUGGCGCUGAAGCGUCGUGCUUAUACUCUGCCGUCGGGGCAAAGGAGGUGUCCGGUCGGCGUGCGCGCCGCGCCGGUCGCCGUCAGGUCCCGACGAGUAGGAGGGUCGCGGCGGUGAGCGCAGAAGGACAGGGCGUGGGCCCGUCUGGAGCCGCCGUCGGUGCAGAUCUUGGUGGUAGUAGCAAAUACUCCAGCGAGGCCCUGGAGGACUGACGUGGAGAAGGGUUUCGUGUGAACAGCCGUUGCACACGAGUCAGUCGAUCCUAAGCCCUAGGAGAAAUCCGAUGUCGAUGGUGACGUGUCUGAAUGGCGCGCAUUCACACGGCGCCGCCGCUCGGCAGGACAGCACACGCGAGCGAGACGCGUCGGCGGAAACGAAACGCACGCACGCACACUCCUUGGACGCGCGCGGACCCCGUCGUCCGUGCGGCAGUGAGAGUCAGCCAGCCAGCCAGCCAGCCAGUCACACCGGCCACGCAGAGUUCGAGCGAGCGCCCCACUUGAGUGUGUCGGGCCACCGUCUCCUGUGCUGCGAGGCGUGGCAGCACAGGAGACGACAAGGGUCGGGCAGGGCAGCCAGCCGGCCUCCGCGCACGAGACUUCGCCGUCGCCGUCAAGACCCGGUGUGUGUGUCGUCGCGUCCGCCGCGCGACCGCACGCCACGGCCGCCAGAGUGAUACGCGAUUGAAUGACGCACGUCCGACGGGCGAAAGGGAAUCCGGUUC